GUGCUUGCCACGGCGGCACAUAUUCUAAAAUUGGAUCGAUACAGAGAAGAUUAGCAUGGCCCCUGCAAAAGGAUGACAUGCAAAUCUGUGAAGUGCUCCAUCUUUUU
This 107-nucleotide small nuclear RNA is filed under the name Sinocyclocheilus anshuiensis. Lineage: Eukaryota; Metazoa; Chordata; Actinopteri; Cypriniformes; Cyprinidae. The record is from RNAcentral.